UCAAAAGUUUUAGAAGGAAACCAAUUCAUUUUCCAAUAGAUUCGGUUCGAUUAACAAAAUGAAUCUCAAAAUAUUUACUUUGUUCGCCGUCGUAGUAUUGGCAUUAUUUUCAUUUGGAAGCUCAUCACCACAUCCUCAAGAAGAAGUAGCCCCUCUUAAGGAUGAAGAAAUCCCGAAGUGCUGGAACGUGUAUUGUGUCAUGGUAUGCAUGAGGCAAGGAUUUAUGGAUGGAAAGUGUAUUGACGACAGAUGUAUAUGUGCCGGAGCUGGAUUUAAGUAGGAAUGAACUGUUAUAUCCAAUAAAUAAAUUCGCUUUUUAAAAGUGGUUUCAUUCAAAUUUAAA
This is a long non-coding RNA of Sitodiplosis mosellana (orange wheat blossom midge), 343 nucleotides long. RefSeq lists it as uncharacterized. The transcript is spliced from 2 exons. Lineage: Eukaryota; Metazoa; Arthropoda; Insecta; Diptera; Cecidomyiidae. The record is from RefSeq and is a predicted model, not a curated record.